Molecule: long non-coding RNA, 531 nt
Filed under: Amborella trichopoda
Lineage: Eukaryota; Viridiplantae; Streptophyta; Magnoliopsida; Amborellales; Amborellaceae
Description: long non-coding RNA (ATRI_LNC000254)
Source: RNAcentral
CCAAAUCCCAUCUUUGUAAAAAACAUCCAUCUUUUGCUCCAAGCUUCAACACCGAAAGAAUCGAAAACCCCAAAUACCAUCUCGGUAAAAAACCAUUCCUCUUUUGGUCCAAGCUUCGACACUGUAAGAGCCCAAACUCGCCACGUCCACUCUGCUUCUCCUCUUACCCCAAUAGUGCCUUAUGCUCUCCAUUUUUCGGAAAUGAGAAAUGAAAAUCUGGUUUUAGAAAGAGGUUAUUGGGUCUUGAGCUUUAGAGUUCUAGAUGGAGAAACGAAGAGGCGAAUGCAUGGGUGAUUUGUGGGUUUAUUAUCUGCUGGCACUUGCUGUAAGAGAACUAACGAAAGAGAGCAGGAAAUACAUAAAAAUGAUAAGUUUAGAGGGAGAUGUAAUGGUGAGUGAGAAAGAGAGACGCAUGGGUUAUCCUACGCUCCACCCCCGCAUUCUGAGAAUUUAGAGAGAGAGUGGAUAACUAGGGUUUGAUGCGGUGCACAUUUUAAGGAGGUUUUUGGUAUGAAUGUUUAGAGAGAGAAA